This 1252-nucleotide long non-coding RNA is filed under the name Anser brachyrhynchus (Pink-footed goose). RNAcentral's name for it is "lncRNA (ENSABRG00000017649.1)". Lineage: Eukaryota; Metazoa; Chordata; Aves; Anseriformes; Anatidae. The record is from RNAcentral.
AUGGCUGAAGAGGAAAUCAAAGCGUCAAGCUAUCUGGGAAUAUCUGAGGAAUAUAACGUUACACAUGGACUAGCUUUGUGCCUCAAGAACCAACACUCCGUGUUUGUACCGACACUGCCAGAUGUCAGCAGCUGGCUGAGGUUUCGCUGCACAGCUCCUCCUUACGCCACGCAGACGUGCCCCUGGUCUUCUCCGAGGCUCCUGCUGCAGCUCCUGGGCUUGUGCUGGCAGAGACAGCAGGGACCGGUCACCGACGAGCUUCCCCAAGUACCGGAGCCUCUGCACUGCAUUAUAGCUACAGUUACGCACUUGGUGGUUUUUCAGCCUGUAAUUUAACACUUGCAUCAUGGGACUAUGAUAAGUUUCGGGGGCUGCACUCACCAGUAUGCCCGCUUUGCUCCUGCUUCGCAGCCAGUAGAUGCUCGGAGUGCAGCAGACCCUGCCUGACUGCAAAACGCAGCGAGUCACACCGACACGGCUAUCGUGAUUCACGCACAAAGGUCGUUUCAAAGCAGAUUUUUAUUUGCCACCAUUAUUUUUAACAUUAAAACAAGACUAUUACUGAGUAAUCUGACUGUUACUCACUGUUGAUAAGUCUUUGGGAAAUCUUUUUCACUUGCUAGACUGAGGAAACUAAAAGAAUAGGCUGUAUUUCAGAUAUUGUGAGCUGCUAAAUGUGUACUGUAGCUCUUUAGCAGCUUUGGGAAAAAUCAAGGCCCUGAAGCUAAGUGCAGCUGCAGCACGCUCUGAGAAGCCGGCCUGUCCCCUCCAAGGGGAGGUCUCUGCCCCGCGAUCACUUGCUGUGCUUCUUCACAAAAGCAGUUUUCAUCAAUUUUUAUCUGUCCUGCAUCAGAAAUUAUUCACAACAAGCAUUCAGCUAUAGUCAGUAGGACUACCAAAGCUGUAGGUGUUCGCCAGAUGUGUCUUAAAGAAAGCGGCAGUUGGAAGAAAGGAAUGCCUCCUCAUACUGACUUCGAUUGUCCUGUGCCCUCUGAUUGUCCGUGCCAUUCCUCGCUUUUUGUAAAAUCUGUUUCACAGGUCGAUGACCAAAGCUCAAACACAAGGUUGUCCAGGCAGCUGUCUCUCUAGAAAUGUGCUCUCUGAAUGCACUGCAGCAAAAGCUAUCUCCUGUGAAAUCUAAUUUAAUACAUUAAUGUGGAUUCAUAAAACAAAGUCACACAUUGCGCAAGCAAUGUUAUUUGUGGCACUGGCAUCUUACUGAUUACAGCAAUAAAUAAUACAGUGUAUAUCA